UACGUAGGGGGCAAGCGUUGUCCGGAAUUAUUGGGCGUAAAGAGUUCGUAGGCGGUUUGUCGCGUCGAAUGUGAAAACCCGGGGCUCAACCUCGGGCCUGCAUUCGAUACGGGCAGACUAGAGUUCGGUAGGGGAGUCUGGAAUUCCUGGUGUAGCGGUGAAAUGCGCAGAUAUCAGGAGGAACACCGGUGGCGAAGGCGGGACUCUGGGCCGAUACUGACGCUGAGGAGCGAAAGCGUGGGGAGCAAACAGG
Molecule: ribosomal RNA, 253 nt
Filed under: uncultured bacterium
Lineage: Bacteria
Description: partial 16S ribosomal RNA
Rfam family: Bacterial small subunit ribosomal RNA
Source: RNAcentral